This 253-nucleotide ribosomal RNA is filed under the name uncultured bacterium. Its description in RNAcentral is "partial 16S ribosomal RNA". It matches the Rfam family "Bacterial small subunit ribosomal RNA", at positions 524 to 776 of the family's 1533-position model. The record is from RNAcentral.
UACGGGGGGGGCAAGCGUUGUUCGGAAUUACUGGGCGUAAAGGGCUCGUAGGCGGCCAACUAAGUCAGACGUGAAAUCCCCAGGCUCAACCUGGGAACUGCGUCUGAUACUGGAUGGCUUGAAUCCGGGAGAGGGAUGCAGAAUUCCAGGUGUAGCGGUGAAAUGCGCAGAUAUCUGGAGGAAUACCGGUGGCGAAGGCGGCAUCCUGGACCGACAUUGACGCUGAUGAGCGAAAGCUAGGGGAGCAAACGGG